Molecule: ribosomal RNA, 490 nt
Filed under: uncultured bacterium
Lineage: Bacteria
Description: partial 16S ribosomal RNA
Rfam family: Bacterial small subunit ribosomal RNA
Source: RNAcentral
AUUGAACGCUGGCGGCAUGCUUUACACAUGCAAGUCGGACGGCAGCACAGAGAAGCUUGCUUCUUGGGUGGCGAGUGGCGUACGGGUGAGUAAUAUAUCGGAACGUACCGAGUAAUGGGGGAUAACUAAUCGAAAGAUUAGCUACUACCGCAUAUUCUCUGAGGAGGAAAGCAGGGGACCUUCGGGCCUUGCGUUAUUCGAGCGGCCGAUAUCUGAUUAGCUAGUUGGUGGGGUAAAGGCCUACCAAGGCGACGAUCAGUAGCGGGUCUGAGAGGAUGAUCAGCCACACUGGGACUGAGACACGGCCCAGACUCCUACGGGAGGCAGCAGUGGGGAAUUUUGGAAAAUGGGCGCAAGCCUGAUCCAGCCAUGCAGCGUGUCUGAAGAAGGCCUUCGGGUUGUAAAGGACUUUUGUCAGGGAAGAAAAGGCUGUUGCUAAUAUCGACAGCUGAUGACGGUACAUGAAGAAUAAGCAACGGCUAACUACGUG